Molecule: ribosomal RNA, 1438 nt
Filed under: uncultured organism
Description: bacterial SSU rRNA
Rfam family: Bacterial small subunit ribosomal RNA
Source: RNAcentral
GGAUGAACGCUAGCGGCAGGCUUAACACAUGCAAGUCGAGGGGUAACGACUCCGUCUUCGGAUGGAGGUCGACGACCGGCGCACGGGUGGGUAACGCGUAUGCAACCUACCUUUACAGGAGGAUAGCCCAGAGAAAUUUGGAUUAAUACUCCAUAGUACUAAUGAAUCACCUGGUUUAUUAGUUAAAACUCCGGUGGUAAAAGAUGGGCAUGCGUGUCAUUAGCUAGUUGGUAAGGUAACGGCUUACCAAGGCGAAGAUGACUAGGGGUUCUGAGAGGGAGAUCCCCCACACUGGUACUGAGACACGGACCAGACUCCUACGGAAGGCAGCAGUGAGGAAUAUUGGUCAAUGGGUGAGAGCCUGAACCAGCCAUGCCGCGUGAAGGAAGACUGCCCUAUGGGUUGUAAACUUCUUUUCUGCAGGAAGAAAUCACUCUACGUGUAGGGUGUUGCCGGUACUGCAGGAAUAAGCAUCGGCUAACUCCGUGCCAGCAGCCGCGGUAAUACGGAGGAUGCAAGCGUUAUCCGGAUUUAUUGGGUUUAAAGGGUGCGUAGGCGGGCUUGUAAGUCAGUGGUGAAAUGCUGUGGCUUAACCAUAGAAUUGCCAUUGAAACUGCAAGUCUUGAGUACAGUUGAGGUGGGCGGAAUGAGUAAUGUAGCGGUGAAAUGCAUAGAUAUUACUCAGAACUCCGAUUGCGUAGGCAGCUUGCUAAACUGUAACUGACGCUGAUGCACGAAAGCGUGGGGAGCGAACAGGAUUAGAUACCCUGGUAGUCCACGCUGUAAACGAUGAGCACUGGUUGUUGGCAAUACACCGUCAGCGACUGAGCGAAAGUAUUAAGUGCUCCACCUGGGGAGUACGUCGGCAACGAUGAAACUCAAAGGAAUUGACGGGGGCCCGCACAAGCGGAGGAACAUGUGGUUUAAUUCGAUGAUACGCGAGGAACCUUACCUGGGCUUAAAUGUAGAGUGCAUUGCUUGGAAACAGGCAUUUUCUUCGGAACUCUUUACAAGGUGCUGCAUGGUUGUCGUCAGCUCGUGCCGUGAGGUGUCGGGUUAAGUCCCAUAACGAGCGCAACCCCUAUUGUUAGUUACCAGCACGUAAUGGUGGGGACUCUAGCAAGACUGCCGGUGUAAACCAUGAGGAAGGUGGGGAUGACGUCAAAUCAGCACGGCCCUUAUGUCCAGGGCUACACACGUGUUACAAUGGCAAGUACAAAGAGCAGCCACCUGGCGACAGGGCGCUAAUCUCAAAAGCUUGCCUCAGUUCGGAUCGAAGUCUGCAACUCGACUUCGUGAAGGUGGAUUCGCUAGUAAUCGCGCAUCAGCCAUGGCGCGGUGAUACGUUCCCGGGCAUUGUACACACCGCCCGUCAAGCCAUGGAAGCCGGGGGUACAUGAAGUCCGUAACCGCAAGGAUCGGCACUAGGGUAAAACUG